UCACAAGAGGUCCUACAACCAGUAAUUAC
RNAcentral lists this small RNA (29 nucleotides) under Bombyx mori (domestic silkworm). RNAcentral describes it as "ovarian small RNA-6814". The record is from RNAcentral. Lineage: Eukaryota; Metazoa; Arthropoda; Insecta; Lepidoptera; Bombycidae.